Molecule: transfer RNA, 77 nt
Filed under: Prevotella sp. CAG:1092
Lineage: Bacteria; Pseudomonadati; Bacteroidota; Bacteroidia; Bacteroidales; Prevotellaceae
Rfam family: tRNA
About the family: Transfer RNA (tRNA) molecules are approximately 80 nucleotides in length. Their secondary structure includes four short double-helical elements and three loops (D, anti-codon, and T loops). Further hydrogen bonds mediate the characteristic L-shaped molecular structure. tRNAs have two regions of fundamental functional importance: the anti-codon, which is responsible for specific mRNA codon recognition, and the 3' end, to which the tRNAs corresponding amino acid is attached (by aminoacyl-tRNA synthetases). tRNAs cope with the degeneracy of the genetic code in two manners: having more than one tRNA (with a specific anti-codon) for a particular amino acid; and 'wobble' base-pairing, i.e. permitting non-standard base-pairing at the 3rd anti-codon position.
Source: Rfam by way of RNAcentral
ACCACUGUGGGCAAAUUGGUAAAGUCGGUACACUUAGGAUGUACGUCAUUUUGUGAGUUCGAGUCUCAUCAGUGGUA